ACUUGUUCUUUAAAUAAGGACUAGUAUGAAAGGCACCACGAGAGUCAUACUGUCUCCUUUCUCUAAUCAGUGAAACUAAUCUUCCCGUGAAGAAGCGGGGAUAAAAAUAUAAGACGAGAAGACCCUAUGGAGCUUCAAACAAAUAACACUUGCCCCAGACCCCUAAUUUCAGAAAAAUUUUCUACCCCGGCAUCAUGAUUAUUAGUUUUCGGUUGGGGUGACCACGGAAUAAAAAACAACCUCCGCAAUGAAAGACACUCAUCUACUUAAUCAAGGGCCACAACCCCACACAUCAACAAAUUGACACUAAUUGACCCAACAUGUUGAUCAAUGAACCAAGUUACCCUAGGGAUAACAGCGCAAUCCACUUCAAGAGCUCCUAUCGACAAGUGG
RNAcentral lists this ribosomal RNA (393 nucleotides) under Adenomera marmorata. Its description in RNAcentral is "partial 16S ribosomal RNA". It matches the Rfam family "Bacterial large subunit ribosomal RNA", at positions 1967 to 2515 of the family's 2925-position model. The record is from RNAcentral. Lineage: Eukaryota; Metazoa; Chordata; Amphibia; Anura; Leptodactylidae.